GCUUACGGCCAUAUCAGCCUGGGUACGCCCGAUCUCGUCUGAUCUCGGAAGCUAAGCAGGGUCGGGCCUGGUUAGUACUUGGAUGGGAGACCGCCUGGCAAUACCAGGUGCUGUAAGCA
This 119-nucleotide ribosomal RNA is filed under the name Salmo salar (Atlantic salmon). The record is from RNAcentral. Lineage: Eukaryota; Metazoa; Chordata; Actinopteri; Salmoniformes; Salmonidae.